This 238-nucleotide ribosomal RNA is filed under the name uncultured eukaryote. RNAcentral's name for it is "partial 18S ribosomal RNA". It matches the Rfam family "Eukaryotic small subunit ribosomal RNA", at positions 128 to 370 of the family's 1831-position model. The record is from RNAcentral.
UACCUUACCACUCGGAUAACCGUGGUAAUUCUAGAGCUAAUACGUGCCUUCAGGGCCACCUUUUUGGUGGCCUGCAUUUAUUAGAUACAAACCAAUGCCAGCAAUGGCUCCUGGUGAUUCAUAAUAACUUGGCGGAUCGCAUGACCUUGCGUCGGCGACGUAUCAAUCAAAUUUCUGCCCUAUCAAGUUUCGAAGGUAGGAUAGAGGCCUACCUUGCUAGCAACGGGUAACGGGGAAU